RNAcentral lists this ribosomal RNA (253 nucleotides) under uncultured bacterium. RNAcentral describes it as "partial 16S ribosomal RNA". It matches the Rfam family "Bacterial small subunit ribosomal RNA", at positions 524 to 776 of the family's 1533-position model. The record is from RNAcentral.
UACGGGGGGGGCAAGCGUUGUUCGGAAUUACUGGGCGUAAAGGGCUCGUAGGCGGCCAACUAAGUCAGACGUGAAAUCCCCAGGCUCAACCUGGGAACUGCGUCCGAUACUGGCAGGCUUGAAUCCGGGAGAGGCAAGUGGAAUUACUGGUGUAGCAGUGAAAUGCGUAGAUAUCAGUAGGAACACCAAUGGCGAAGGCAGCUUGCUGGCAUGUAUCUGACGCUAAGGCACGAAAGCGUGGGGAGCGAACAGG